UCGCUUUGGGAGGGACCUGCGUCCCAUCAGCUAGUUGGUGAGGUAACGGCCCACCAAGGCUACGACGGGUAGGGGACCUGAGAGGGUGACCCCCCACAAUGGAACUGAAACACGGUCCAU
Molecule: ribosomal RNA, 120 nt
Filed under: uncultured bacterium
Lineage: Bacteria
Description: partial 16S ribosomal RNA
Rfam family: Bacterial small subunit ribosomal RNA
Source: RNAcentral